This 4489-nucleotide long non-coding RNA is filed under the name Nicotiana tabacum (common tobacco). RNAcentral's name for it is "long non-coding RNA (NTAB_LNC003127)". Lineage: Eukaryota; Viridiplantae; Streptophyta; Magnoliopsida; Solanales; Solanaceae. The record is from RNAcentral.
CACAAUUGGCCCACGCACCCCUCAACUCACUUCCCCUCUUCGCCUCCCCCCCUUUCCCUCAAAAGAACCGUACUGUAUGUUUUAUAUAACUAUACAAUAACUUACAGUUACAUGAGAAAUAAUAGCUAACAUCUCACAAAUUGAACUCUACAAAGAAUCACAAUUUGGUUUCCUCUCUGCAACCUAGGGUUUCAUUCUUCUUCUCAUCAAGGUAAGCUCUAAACUUGUAGUAAAUUAUUUUGAAAUUGGGCAUUUUUUUAUGUUAUCAAUUCUCUCUCUGUUUUUCAAAUAUUGAGUUUCUUCUUAUAAUUACAUAUGCUUCAAAUUUAUAAUUACAGGUAUGUUUUAUGAAUAUUGAUGUUGAAUGUGCAGAAGUUGUUUCUUUAUUUUCAUUGAAUUUUGCUCGUUACAUAAUAGCUAUGUGUAUUCAUCUUUAGAGCAGAUUAUUUUUUGGAAUUGGGUUUGAUUGCAUAUUGUUAUUGGGAAAAAAGCUUCUCAAUAUCUGGUCAUGAUUGUAUUGUAAACUUUCUCUAGUGAAAGUAGGGGUGGGCACAAAAAUAAAAAAGAAACCCAAAAACGUGCUAGAAGGGGGAAUGUAGGAACUAGGAUAGCAGUCAAGUUCUCAAGUCAUAAUGGAGGCUAGCAAGAAUGGGCACCAAAAUCUCCACUUCGGGUCCUUCUGAAACGAACUUUGCCAUACUUGCUCCAUUUUAGGCACAAAUAUAUGAAUCAGAUAAAUUAUUGACUUGAUAUAAACUGCCUAAAGUCUAUUUCUUGUAAUUACCGGUUGUCCUUGAAAAUCUGCUUUAAUAUGCAGCUAGAAUAGGGUGAACUAAUGUCUAUGAACAAACAGGUUGUAAGAAAGUCGCUAAUUCUAACCGCAAAACAGGUCUACGUCUGAACCUAAUUAAGUUGGUUCUUCGGUACAGGUUCUUCGUUUUUCGGUACGGUCUUCGGUAUUGGGAUAUCAAUAUUUCGGUUCUUCGGUUAGGUAUUCGGUAUUAAGGUUUCUAAAUUUCGGUAUACCGAAAUACCAAAUUUUUUUAGUAUGCAUAUUAAGUAGCUUAAUUUAAUCAAAUCUGAGUCCAACCCAUAAAUCCAUCCAAGUCUCAUUUUUCCUUUUAGCUUAUCAGAAUACAUUGAAAUUACUAUUACAGUGAAGUAAUAAAAUUAAGCUUGAGAAAAUUUGGUUUAUUUGCUGCUACUACCUCAAUUCAAUGCCAUAUUCUGUUUAUUGCAUAAACUUUUACUGAUCUUUAUAAAUAGAAAACAUUUUUUGUCUAUCAUUAACUAAGAAUAUUGAUCUUCAAUAACUACUAAAAGAUGUGUACUUACUGCAUCUAAUAAAUUAGCAAGAAUAAUAUGUGAUUAUCUCAUAAUAUAACAGAACAUUCAACUUUAAGUAAUCUAGACUCAAAAUACAUAGAAUAACUUCUGCUUCUAACCCCUUAAACAAUAAGUAGAAUUCCAAAAUUUCGCAAGGUCAAUAUCGCUACUGGGAGUGGAUUUUGCUGCAUUUUCAUUUUGUGAGUUUGUAUAAUCCGUUGGUUAACCAGAUGACGUCAUAUUUGUUAUCGUGCUUUCUUCUAUUUUUCAUGUCAACAACUCAGGUCCCUCGCUCUUUUUUGUUGAAGGAUGAAAUAAAUAAAUAAUUGUUGUGCAUGAACUCUGUUGAUCACCAUCCUGCUUCACUAUGAAAGGCUUCUGUAUUUUUCAAUCUCUUAUUUUUCGAUCACUUAUAGAACCCAUUUUUCCUUAGCUAAACUUUUUCCUUUUCUUUUAUGAUAUAUCGACAAGAUAAUAUAAUAUUUUAUCUAAUUUUGGUACUUUUCUAUAUUCAAGAAUGUGCUAUAAAACUUUUACAUUUUUUUAUGAAUAGACAAUGAACUUAUUUCAAGUAUUUAGAUAAUUCUAAUUCACUGGCAUAUUACUGGAUAGCAGUCAACUAAUCAGAUACCUCUGCUCCUGGAUUUCUACAAAGAUAUCUAUUUUGUUCUUUGAAGUGUAACUUUCAUAUAUUCUUUAGCACAUAGUGUUUUUAGUAAUAUACAAAAAGUAAUAGCAAGUGUUUGUAGGUACAAAAAGAAAUGGUAGUGUCUCUACAAUAUGGAGGUGCGACCUUUUUCAUUUUUCUUUUCAACUCUUUAUUGAUAUUGAGCAGCAUUAGAUAGUUUCAUUCAAGAUACAAACAAACACAAUAGUAGUAGGAAAAAAAUGACAUAAAUUUCAUGAAUUAGCUUGUUUGAUAUUUUUAUCUCAAUGUAAUUAUGUGUGCUGAUACCAAAAAAGAUUCUUGAUCAAAGGAAAGUCCCUGAAUUAACUAGAGAAAAUGUCGCCAGCCAUUUGCAGGUUUACUUCUGAAUACAUAUAUUUAACUAUAAUUGGUAUCAUGGCUUUCACAUAUUAAAUAGGUUAAGUUAUGUUUGAUUUCUGUAUUACUUGGUUUGAACUAGUCCAUGUAGGUGAAGUAAUGUUUGACUUCUGUAUUACUUGGUUUGAACUAGUGCAUAAUUUCAUAAAAUAGGAGAACAUAGAUUUCCGUAUUUUGUCUUACUUCAAUUAUUAAGUUAUUCAUGACUAUCUAUAUGGAUAUCAACCGCCCAUCAGCUUUGAUCAUUAGAACCUCACUUUGUUUGAUUCUUAUAUUAUGAUAAUGUAACACUCUUUUACACCAGUCAUACCAACCGCUUCUUAUUACGGUACAUUACUUUUUUUUGUUCAGUUACCAUCAGUUAAUUUUAAAGUUGAAAAACUUUUUACAGUAUAUUAGCUCUUAUAAUUUGUAAAGUUCACUCGUAAUAGUGAUUUUUAGUCUAUGUUGCUCGUGUGAUGAUACAAAUGUCAUUAAUGUUAUAAUACUAUAUGAACUCUUAUGAAUAAGAAGAUGAUAAACAUUAGUAAAAAAUAUGAAAAGAAGAGUAGGUCCUCACCCGAAAUUAACUUGAUGGUGAACAGAUUUUGCAUCAAUGAACGAAAGUGAGAAACUCAGCCUCUUAUUUGGUUAGUAUAUCUUUUUCCCUUUCUUGGGUUAUCUCUCUGUCUAAAGGUUAACAAUAAAGAUAGAAAUGUGAAUUUGAUGAAGAUAUGCAGUCGAUAGUAACAGAAGAGCUCUUUCAAGAUUUUGGGAGAAGUGACAGGAGAAUAAAGGAAGGAGCUUAAAACGUACUGGCGGUAUAAAAAAAUUUACACAAUCGGGUCACUUGUAAGAUCAUUACAAUAAGAUUGUAUGAUAAUUAUUAAAUGGUGAUCUGCUAAAAAUGGUUGUACUUGCUAUCACAGCUUAAACUAUACUGAUAACGUAAAAAUUAUUUUACACUAGAAUAUAGUGAAUUCCAUCCAUUUUCUAUUUCCUACGAUGCUUAUAUUAUCUUUCUGAUUUUUGUUGUUGUCAUAGAUUCUAUUGUCUAUUUUCUUCUUCUUGAGCCGAGGAUUUUUUGGAAACAACCUUUCUAUCCCUCCGGGAUAGGGGUAACAUCUGCAUACAUUCUACCCUCCCUAGACCCCACUUAUGGGACUUUAUUGGGUUGUUAUUGUUGUUGUAUUGUUGUAAUUAUGUGUGCUAAUUUAUUUUGCCUGCUUUUAAUAAUUUUAUUUUUAGAAAUUUGUCUCUUAAUUGUUGUUGUUUUUAACCCUUUUUGUUUAUAUCUUUUAUUGAUUCCCCUUAUGUUCAAAAUCAUCCAAGUCAUUUAUUAAGAGGAUCCUCCACCAUGAUUUGGUGGUUUUGUAUUCUCAAUUACAUGUUCCGCAAUUUGUAAAUCCUCUCUGUAUCUGUUUCUGAUUUGUUCAUCUUUAGUGAUAGUUUUCCCUAUCAUGUUCUUGACUUUGCUUCACUGGCUGAUGUUGUUGGUUUAAUUCACUUGUAGUUGAAAUAUCACCCUGUUCAACUCUUCUUGGUCUUCUCCUUCUUCGUUGUUGGCCAAACUAUCUGUUCUUGUCCUGCUCAUUCACUUUUUGCACAGUUAUGCCCUAUGCUUAUACAUUUAGUAUUAUUAGCUUUCUCUUUCACCAUGUUUGGAACUUUUUAAUAAAGGUUAUUUGAAUUCCAGAAAAAUUUAUGUCUUAUGCUUUAGAUUUAUAAUCGCCAUGUUUUAUUUAUUUACUCCAAUUGUUCAAUUAACACGAUGAUUAAAUUUAUUUAUUUGUUUUUUUUAAAUAAAAUAGUUAGAGAAGUUUUUACUAAACUGACAUGAGCUUGUUCUUUCAACAUGCCAAAAAUUUGAAGUAUGAAGAUGUCAUUGAAGAAAGUACAAAGCAAGUUGAUGCAUAUUAGAUCUUAUAGCUUUCUUGGCGGUUGUUUAGGGAUGUUGUCAUUGUACAUAUGUUAUAAUUUUGUUUUCUCUCUUUUAGGAUUUGAUAGUGAAAAAGUCAUACAGUUUAGAUGUGUAUUCUAGUAAUGUGUUAUUUUAUUAUUCUUUCUAGUUGACAUAUUAAUUUUAUGUGAAUACGUGUGGUUAUUUAUUAUUUUUUCUGAUGUGUAUGUAUAAGUAUA